Molecule: ribosomal RNA, 1302 nt
Filed under: uncultured bacterium adhufec27
Lineage: Bacteria; Pseudomonadati; Bacteroidota; Bacteroidia; Bacteroidales; Bacteroidaceae
Description: bacterial SSU rRNA
Rfam family: Bacterial small subunit ribosomal RNA
Source: RNAcentral
ACAGGCUUAACACAUGCAAGUCGAGGGGCAGCAUGGUCUUAGCUUGCUAAGGCCGAUGGCGACCGGCGCACGGGUGAGUAACACGUAUCCAACCUGCCGUCUACUCUUGGACAGCCUUCUGAAAGGAAGAUUAAUACAAGAUGGCAUCAUGAGUCCGCAUGUUCACAUGAUUAAAGGUAUUCCGGUAGACGAUGGGGAUGCGUUCCAUUAGAUAGUAGGCGGGGUAACGGCCCACCUAGUCUUCGAUGGAUAGGGGUUCUGAGAGGAAGGUCCCCCACAUUGGAACUGAGACACGGUCCAAACUCCUACGGGAGGCAGCAGUGAGGAAUAUUGGUCAAUGGGCGAGAGCCUGAACCAGCCAAGUAGCGUGAAGGAUGACUGCCCUAUGGGUUGUAAACUUCUUUUAUAAAGGAAUAAAGUCGGGUAUGGAUACCCGUUUGCAUGUACUUUAUGAAUAAGGAUCGGCUAACUCCGUGCCAGCAGCCGCGGUAAUACGGAGGAUCCGAGCGUUAUCCGGAUUUAUUGGGUUUAAAGGGAGCGUAGAUGGAUGUUUAAGUCAGUUGUGAAAGUUUGCGGCUCAACCGUAAAAUUGCAGUUGAUACUGGAUAUCUUGAGUGCAGUUGAGGCAGGCGGAAUUCGUGGUGUAGCGGUGAAAUGCUUAGAUAUCACGAAGAACUCCGAUUGCGAAGGCAGCCUGCUAAGCUGCAACUGACAUUGAGGCUCGAAAGUGUGGGUAUCAAACAGGAUUAGAUACCCUGGUAGUCCACACGGUAAACGAUGAAUACUCGCUGUUUGCGAUAUACUGCAAGCGGCCAAGCGAAAGCGUUAAGUAUUCCACCUGGGGAGUACGCCGGCAACGGUGAAACUCAAAGGAAUUGACGGGGGCCCGCACAAGCGGAGGAACAUGUGGUUUAAUUCGAUGAUACGCGAGGAACCUUACCCGGGCUUAAAUUGCAGAUGAAUUACGGUGAAAGCCGUAAGCCGCAAGGCAUCUGUGAAGGUGCUGCAUGGUUGUCGUCAGCUCGUGCCGUGAGGUGUCGGCUUAAGUGCCAUAACGAGCGCAACCCUUGUUGUCAGUUACUAACAGGUUCCGCUGAGGACUCUGACAAGACUGCCAUCGUAAGAUGUGAGGAAGGUGGGGAUGACGUCAAAUCAGCACGGCCCUUACGUCCGGGGCUACACACGUGUUACAAUGGGGGGUACAGAGGGCCGCUACCACGCGAGUGGAUGCCAAUCCCCAAAACCUCUCUCAGUUCGGACUGGAGUCUGCAACCCGACUCCACGAAGCUGGAUUCGCUAGUA